This 3512-nucleotide long non-coding RNA is filed under the name Triticum aestivum (bread wheat). RNAcentral describes it as "long non-coding RNA (TAES_LNC001671)". Lineage: Eukaryota; Viridiplantae; Streptophyta; Magnoliopsida; Poales; Poaceae. The record is from RNAcentral.
CCACACGUCAGAAAUUCCAAAUGUGCUCAAAUUAUUUUGAUAAGUGGGUCGCAUGAGUCAUGUUUCCAUUGCACACGUUUUCAAAUCACAUACAUAAUUACUAUUUCAUAUGAAACAGAAAUUGUAAUUCUGAAACAUACAUGAAAUUCACAAACAGAGAGAAGAUACAUUAUUUCACAUACAUAAUUACUAUUUCAUUCACAAACAGAAAGAAGAUACAUUAAAUUCCCAGAUAACCCAGCUAUUAUUACAUAACUUGCUAUAUAAGAAUGUCUUGGAGCUUCUUUGAACAUCUUUCGUCUUGAAUUUACUCAAAAUAUCUACCAACAAAAAAACAGAACAGCAAGGAUAGGGUGAAUAACAACAACAACAACAGGUGAUGGGGUGCUAUUCCAUCUAAACAAGAGACUGAACCCAACAAGCUAGAUUUAUUCAGCAUCAUCAACAAUUCAGUAAAGUACUGCAGUUUAGAACUGAUGAGAAAAAACAACUACACGACUUCAUAACUGAACAUAUUCAAGUAAAAAUUGUACAAGUUACAUUCCAAUAAACAAAUUGUACAAGUGGACGAUUCCCUGCUGCAUAUACAUAUCACUUGUGUCAUGUUUGGGGGUUCAGAAUGUACACAACAUGUUUAUGGUAGAUGAACUGUAGCUGCUAGCAGGGGCGGAGCCAGGAUUUGGAUAUAGGGGGGGCCAAGUCAUGUUCAUUAAAGAAAAAUGCUCACUGCAGAAAAAUAAGUACCAUAAUACUAUAUUAUUGUGUUGCUUCAACACAACUAAAAUAGGGUCUGUCUAUGGCAUAUCAAUAUAUGGCUUAGUUAUUGCACAAAAAGGAAAAAGGAAAUAUUCGCACUAAUCUUUGCAUAAAAAAUAAUCAAUGUCAUAAGACCUAGAUUUUAAUACUUAGGACACAUCUAGAUGUACUUUAGCAAAACUGAUUAAAAUAUAUUUACAUUUGUAUUGGUUUAUAUUUGCCCCUACAGUUGUCAAUAAGAUCAAAAAUAUUGAUGAUUUCAUGAGUAGUUAACCUAGUUGCUAGCAAUUUCCUAUCAAUAUAGAUUAGCCAAGCAAGUCAUUGCCACUGAACUGGGAUUGGUAAAAAUUGCACAUUAGCCACAUUAACAACAUUACUAGGUGGAGAACUCGAAACAACAUACUUUAAAAGAGAAUUAAUCUUUAUGGUGUUUGCAGCCCUUUUCUCUUCAUGACCGCAUCACAAAUCAAACAAUGAAAAUAAAAUAAAAUUUAUUAGCAUCAAAUGACAACUUCAACAUGUAUAAGAUUAGAGUUGAGAGGGAUUAGUAGAUACAGUAGUUCUCAAUAGUGCUAACCUUGUGCCUGAACAGCUAGAGAAUUCACAGAGUUGAGAGGUAUCCGUAUGAUUUGCCAGUUCAGAAGCCUGUGUCGCCUGAUUUUAAUUGACUCCGUGAGUAGUGAGGGUACGAGGCAGCGGCCGCCGGCAAAGCUAAUCGCUUCAGGUUAAUCACGCUGGGGGGUUGGCUUAACGCCAGGGGCCAAGUACUAGAGUCUAUGGCCACGAGUGGGCUUUUUUAUGGGCCUUUUUCCCAGAUUUCUUCAUAGCCUUCGUUUGGGUUGAGGGGGGGCCAUAGUACGUAUAUUUCUCAGUUCAGUAGCUAAUUACUCGUAGCCUCUGAAUAAAUUGUCGAUCGUUAGGGGGGGGGCAGGCCCCUGCUCGCCCCCCCUUGGCUCCGCCACUGACUGCUAGGAAUAGUAAAGCAAAGAUGUACUGCCACUAAUCAGCAAAAACAUAACAUUUUCUCAGAGUUAAUGAUAGCAUAUUUAACCGUAAAUAACAGAAUAAUGCAAUAAAUUGGUAUAGAGCAAGGUACUGAGCAUAGGCCAGGCCAACAAUAAAUUGGUACUAAAUCUAGAAAUCACCAUCUAAAAUUUAGUUAAUGAGACAUUUUAGAAUCAACUUGAUAAUUGAUAGUAAUGUUUGCAUAGGACACAUCCAGAACUAAAACUAUACAUAAAUGCCUAAAUUUCAAUGCCCGAUGCCCAAAAUGUAAGAUGAUGGUUCUGGAAAAAUAGUAAACUUGCAACCAUAUUUAAAGAAAAGAAAAUAGCAAGGUGCUGCCAUGACCAAAUCCUAACCAGAAUGCAUUUAAUAAAAUGGAUUGCUUCUAGCUGCUGUAGCGACAUGCUCCAUCGGGCCAUGAUCAAGUACUCCAGACCAUUGCAUGCUUUGCAAAAAGAAAUACUAGAUGAAUCUCACUAACAGGAGCACUAGGUGAUUAAUGGAAGUAAUCUGCAGAUUACACUGUGAACAAGUGAAGAAUUUAUCUCUCCCUGUGGAAGAACUAAGUUGAUGAAGACAUGCAGCAGCAGGAGAAGCCUUGCAUCAUUGGUUUGGUCGGGUCGUCCACCACACUAGCCACCAUCACGUACCCGUCGCCAUCAGCAACAUUGCUCCUGCAGCAGCAACAUAUAACCAUUUAUAAAUUAAACGGACCACGUACAAGGUUAUACUAAGCAUGUAAGUACAUUCCAGCUACACGUACAAGGUUAUACUAAGCAUGUAAGUACAGUCCAGCUAUAAAGUGGAUGGCAAAGUGUGGCUGUUGUUGUUGCUACUUUAGCCAACUGAGCUAAUUAAUCUCAUCAACCUAAUACACUUCUCUCAAGAAAGAAAAAAGCAACUUCAAAUAUUGAGUACAGCAGCAACAUCUACUUGUUACUGGAAUUCCAGUUCAAGAUGGCCAGAGGCCACUUGGCACCAUGGAACCUGCACAAUUUCCACCAUAUAUAUGAAUUAGUUAGAAAGAAAACUAGAGUUGAACUACCCAGCCUCAUACAUACAUACAUAAGCGAGCAAAAUUUGAUUACACAAGAAGGUAGCUGGAGUGGUGGUGGACGAAAUGAAAGUCGACGGCCACGGCUUAACGAGGAGAGGAGCUCAACAUUGAAGUUUCGCAAAACAGGAGUUUCAUUAAUUUGAGAGUGGGUUUUAGUAGCUCAAGCUUAGUUAAGUUAAGCACUUAGUACUAAACAGCAACAACACUUGAACCGUAACAUGUCCAGAAAGGAAACAAAACAUGAGACAAGUAUUGAUAGCAAGUCCACGAAGGACAUCCAAUGGUUUCAGCCACAUCCUAAUAAACCUGGAGCAUUCUUUAGCACCUAAUUAUCAGCAACAAAUCAAUGGCUAGACGAGCACCACCACAACAAAUCGACACUAACACUUGGCCCAAGCAAGGAAUCAGCUCACACACGCAAGAUGAUGAUUGCAUACAUACAAAUCAUGUGCUGGCAGAAAAAAAAUCAAGCAGGAGCUCAUCUUCUCUCUCUGUUUUGUAACUAACGACCUAAAUAAAAUAAAAUAAAAACAUGACUUGUUCAUACAGAUCCCUCUAAAAUUCCUUGGCACAAGUGCAUCACAUAUUCAUCAACUUAGCAUCAGAAGUAGUGAGCACGAGAAGAGGGGGAGGGAGAUGGUGGAGCUACCUGCCGCGGUCGCAAUGGAAGCAGAGCAGACCCCUCUUGCCCNNN